GUAUACCUGAUCUUCAAUGGUCUGCUCGGUUUCGAUAUGCCUCUGUAACUCCACUUGAGGUUCGUUGAAAGCAUGAUAAUGUCUAAUGUGACUGGGAUAAUUGUGGUUAAUGGCUCAAUACGUAAGUUGUUGAAGAGUGGUAGAGACCUCGAUGACUCUUGUAUAUUGGACUUGAUGUAGAUGUCUGGAGCUGUGGUGUAAUUUUAUACACUUUUCUCUGAGGCACUCUUCCUUUUGAUGAUGAAAAUAUUCCUAACCUCUUCAAGAAAAUCAAGGUUAUAUGUGGGAUGAGUGGACACCUAGGACCUGCAUGUAACGCUGUAGGGCAUGUGGAUAGACAAGUUUGGGGGCUUAACCAUCUUUAUUCUCAACCUGUUUGGACACGCUUGAAGAUAGGCAUGCAGAUUUAGUUCUCGAGACGAAGGUCAUUUUCGUGAAGAUGCUCCAAGUUGGUGUCGCGCUCCUUUUGAACCCAAGGGCUUGUUGAGCCAAAGAAACUUGAAGUUACUGCAGCUACAACCCAUCGGUUACUCAGCUAGCACCACCUCCCCAACCUAAACUCCAGGUGGAUUGGUUCACAGUCCUCUUUGAUUGUUUCUCCGACUUCAAAAAUUGUUGCAUAACUUGCUGGUGUCCAAGUGUCACCUUUGACCAAGUUGCAGAAAUUGUUGACAAGGGAUCAACCUUUAAGAAACUUGAAGUUCAAUUGUUAUAUAUACAUAUGAUAUGAUUUUGAAUAUGAAAGCGAAAUUCACUUUAAUUAGAGGUUGGUGUAUAUGAUAUGAUAUGAUGAAUGAGGCUAAUUAAUUUUUUUAUUUUGUGAUUUGAAGCAUGUGGUGCUAGUGGAGCUCUGUAUAUUAGUUUAGAUGCUUGCAAUUUGUAUUUGUAUUUUUGGUUUUGUUUUCCUAUGAAUUGCUAUUAUGCAUCAUUUAUGUACCCAAAAAAAAAUUAGAAUUUUGAU
Molecule: long non-coding RNA, 961 nt
Organism: Gastrolobium bilobum
Lineage: Eukaryota; Viridiplantae; Streptophyta; Magnoliopsida; Fabales; Fabaceae
Exons: 6
Source: RefSeq, a predicted model, not a curated record